UUAACGGAGAGUUUGAUCCUGGCUCAGGACGAACGCUGGCGGCGUGCCUAAUACAUGCAAGUCGAGCGGACUUGAUGGAGUGCUUGCACUCCUGAUAGUUAGCGGCGGACGGGUGAGUAACACGUAGGUAACCUGCCCAUAAGACUGGGAUAACCCACGGAAACGUGAGCUAAU
This 174-nucleotide ribosomal RNA is filed under the name Paenibacillus popilliae. RNAcentral describes it as "partial 16S ribosomal RNA". It matches the Rfam family "Bacterial small subunit ribosomal RNA", at positions 1 to 167 of the family's 1533-position model. The record is from RNAcentral. Lineage: Bacteria; Bacillati; Bacillota; Bacilli; Caryophanales; Paenibacillaceae.